This is a non-coding RNA of Moniliophthora roreri, 107 nucleotides long. Lineage: Eukaryota; Fungi; Basidiomycota; Agaricomycetes; Agaricales; Marasmiaceae. The record is from Rfam.
GGCGAGAUGGCCGAGCGGUCUAAGGCGCCAGACUAAGGAGACCAACACUUCUGAAGUGUUAUAAAAUCUGGUCCGAAAGGGCGUGGGUUCGAAUCCCACUCUCGUCA